ACUCGCCUGGCCAACGCCCAUUGAUAGCAGACAGUCCCUAGUCCGCCCGACUUCUCCCGAGAAAAGGGUCAACAGAGGACGCCUUCCCCGAGGCCUCCUCCGGAACUCAGCCAGCAGAGACUCCGCAAAAAUGGAGGGACCCAAGAAGCUUGAAGAAAAGUGUGAAAAUUCUAUUACCUGGUCGGAACCCUGGAAACGGAAAGGGCAGCUACAGCCACUGCCCUUCUCCGCCACAACGUCUGCCUCAGUACCACUGACAUUGACACCGCCGCCAUCUUGCUGCAGGCAAACGCCAGGAUGAAAGGACGGAUCACCGCAAGGGACUAACUUCCUUCGUUCUCAAGCCAGUGCAAUCGCAAUGUUGCGAAAUUCUUUGGGAUUUUAUUUUCUUUUUAAUACUGGGGCUUAAAAAAAGAGGGGAAACGCUUAGUUUAAAUAAGUAAGAAGAAAAAUGUGCGGGAAGAAAUGCAGAAGUGCAUUAACUGUAAAUAUUACCACCAUAAAGUGUAAUCUUUACUGCUU
Molecule: long non-coding RNA, 522 nt
Filed under: Homo sapiens (human)
Lineage: Eukaryota; Metazoa; Chordata; Mammalia; Primates; Hominidae
Description: HSALNT0326551
Source: RNAcentral